RNAcentral lists this ribosomal RNA (549 nucleotides) under Clavispora lusitaniae. Its description in RNAcentral is "LSU rRNA". It matches the Rfam family "Eukaryotic large subunit ribosomal RNA", at positions 53 to 669 of the family's 3401-position model. The record is from RNAcentral. Lineage: Eukaryota; Fungi; Ascomycota; Pichiomycetes; Serinales; Metschnikowiaceae.
GAGGAAAAGAAACCAACAGGGAUUGCCCCAGUAACGGCGAGUGAAGCGGCAAAAGCUCAAAUUUGAAAUCCUGCGGGAAUUGUAAUUUGAAGGUUUCGUGGUCUGAGUCGGCCGCGCCCAAGUCCAUUGGAACAUGGCGCCUGGGAGGGUGAGAGCCCCGUAUGGCGCACGCCGACUCUUUGUACACCGCGGCUCCGACGAGUCGAGUUGUUUGGGAAUGCAGCUCUAAGUGGGUGGUAAAUUCCAUCUAAAGCUAAAUAUUGGCGAGAGACCGAUAGCGAACAAGUACAGUGAUGGAAAGAUGAAAAGCACUUUGAAAAGAGAGUGAAACAGCACGUGAAAUUGUUGAAAGGGAAGGGCUUGCAAGCAGACACGGUUUUACCGGGCCAGCGUCGAAAAGGGGGGAGGAACAAGAACUCGAGAAUGUGGCGCGCACCUUCGGGCGCGCGUGUUAUAGCUCGUGUUGACGCCUCCAUCCCUUUUCGAGGCCUGCGAUUCUAGGACGCUGGCGUAAUGGUUGCAAGCCGCCCGUCUUGAACACCGGACCAA